ACGAACCGUCCAAACGUUAUUCGGAAUCACUGGGCUUAAAGGGUGCGUAGGCGGCGCGGCAAGUUGGGUGUGAAAUACCUCGGCUCAACCGAGGAACUGCGCCCAAAACUGCCGUGCUCGAGGAAGAUAGAGGUGAGCGGAACUUAGGGUGGAGCGGUGAAAUGCGUUGAUAUCCUAAGGAACACCGGUGGCGAAAGCGGCUCACUGGAUCUUUUCUGACGCUGAGGCACGAAAGCUAGGGUAGCGAACGGGAUUAGAUACCCCGGUAGUCCUAGCCGUAAACGAUGAGCACUGGAUUGGAGGGUCCUCCAUAGCCUUCCAGUCGCAACGAAAGCGUUAAGUGCUCCGCCUGGGGAGUAUGGUCGCAAGGCUG
Molecule: ribosomal RNA, 373 nt
Filed under: uncultured bacterium
Lineage: Bacteria
Description: bacterial SSU rRNA
Rfam family: Bacterial small subunit ribosomal RNA
Source: RNAcentral